RNAcentral lists this ribosomal RNA (500 nucleotides) under uncultured bacterium. Its description in RNAcentral is "partial 16S ribosomal RNA". It matches the Rfam family "Bacterial small subunit ribosomal RNA", at positions 30 to 523 of the family's 1533-position model. The record is from RNAcentral.
AUUGAACGCUGGCGGCAUGCCUUACACAUGCAAGUCGAACGGUAGCACGGGAGCAAUCCUGGUGGCGAGUGGCGAACGGGUGAGUAAAGUAUCGGAACGUGCCCAGUCGUGGGGGAUAACGUAGCGAAAGUUACGCUAAUACCGCAUACGAUCUAUGGAUGAAAGCGGGGGAUCGCAAGACCUCGCGCGAUUGGAGCGGCCGAUAUCAGAUUAGGUAGUUGGUGGGGUAAAGGCUCACCAAGCCGACGAUCUGUAGCUGGUCUGAGAGGACGACCAGCCACACUGGGACUGAGACACGGCCCAGACUCCUACGGGGGGCAGCAGUGGGGAAUUUUUGACAAUGGGCGAAAGCCUGAUCCAGCCAUGCCGCGUGCAGGAUGAAGGCCUUCGGGUUGUAAACUGCUUUUGUACGGAACGAAAAGGUUUGGCCUAAUAAGCUGAGCUCAUGACGGUACCGUAAGAAUAAGCACCGGCUAACUACGUGCCAGCCGCCGCGGUAA